CACACCGCCCGUCACACCACGAGAGUUUGUAACACCCGAAGCCGGUGGAGUAACCAUUUGGAGCUAGCCGUCGAAGGUGGGACAAAUGAUUGGGGUGAAGUCGUAACAAGGUAGCCGUAUCGGAAGGUGCGGCUGGAUCACCUCCUUUCUAAGGA
RNAcentral lists this ribosomal RNA (155 nucleotides) under Staphylococcus epidermidis. RNAcentral describes it as "partial 16S ribosomal RNA". It matches the Rfam family "Bacterial small subunit ribosomal RNA", at positions 1386 to 1533 of the family's 1533-position model. Lineage: Bacteria; Bacillati; Bacillota; Bacilli; Caryophanales; Staphylococcaceae. The record is from RNAcentral. RNAcentral also lists the same sequence under 1 other name.